Molecule: small nucleolar RNA, 137 nt
Filed under: Amphilophus citrinellus (Midas cichlid)
Lineage: Eukaryota; Metazoa; Chordata; Actinopteri; Cichliformes; Cichlidae
Source: RNAcentral
UUUGCACACUGCUAGAGCCCUGCUGUUUUGUCUGUGCAGUGCGUGGUGUAGAAUGUGUGCUAAAGAAAAAUGCCUGAUCUCCAACCUCCUUUCUCUGAACCACACAAGGGACUGGGAGUUGAGGUCUUGCAACAAAA